Molecule: ribosomal RNA, 450 nt
Filed under: uncultured bacterium
Lineage: Bacteria
Description: partial 16S ribosomal RNA
Rfam family: Bacterial small subunit ribosomal RNA
Source: RNAcentral
GUGGGGAAUCUUCCGCAAUGGACGAAAGUCUGACGGAGCAACGCCGCGUGAGUGAUGAAGGUCUUCGGAUUGUAAAGCUCUGUUAAUCGGGACGAAAGAGCCUAGUGUGAAUAAUGCUAGGAAGUGACGGUACCGGAAUAGAAAGCCACGGCUAACUACGUGCCAGCAGCCGCGGUAAUACGUAGGUGGCAAGCGUUGUCCGGAAUUAUUGGGCGUAAAGCGCGCGCAGGCGGAUCUGCCAGUCUGUCUUAAAAGUUCGGGGCUUAACCCCGUGAUGGGAUGGAAACUACAGAUCUAGAGUAUCGGAGAGGAAAGUGGAAUUCCUAGUGUAGUGGUGAAAUGCGUAGAUAUUAGGAAGAACACCAGUGGCGAAGGCGACUUUCUGGACGAAAACUGACGCUGAGGCGCGAAAGCCAGGGGAGCGAACGGGAUUAGAAACCCGUGUAGUCC